RNAcentral lists this long non-coding RNA (465 nucleotides) under Marmota monax (woodchuck). Lineage: Eukaryota; Metazoa; Chordata; Mammalia; Rodentia; Sciuridae. The record is from RNAcentral.
AAUAACACAAAUAAACAUCAGAGAGAGCUGAAAAAUCAGCUUUGAUUAUGCAUGAAAAUCUACAAUGUCAUUGUGUACUCUUAUGCCGUAUUCUGAUUGCCUGUUUAUUUUUACAGAACUGCUGGUGAGCCCAUGGAAGAGGAGCCAGCCUUGUGAAGUGCCAAGUCUCCCCCAAUAUUUCCUGUGUGUGACAUCAUUGUGUAUGCCCCCACCCCAGCACCCUCAGACAUGUCUUGUCUGCUGCCUGGGUGGCACAGAUUCGAUAGAACAUAAACACUGGGCACAAAAUUCUGAACAGCAGCUUCACUUGUUCUUUGGAUGGACUUGAAAGGGCAUUAAAGAUUCCUGAAACGUAACUGCUGUGAUUCUAAAGUUACAGUAAACCAUGAUUGGAAGAAACUGCUUCCAGCGCGCUUUUAUUACGCUGGGUGACCCACUCCCAGACAAAGUAUGAACUAGAAACAU